Molecule: long non-coding RNA, 791 nt
Organism: Rhipicephalus sanguineus (brown dog tick)
Lineage: Eukaryota; Metazoa; Arthropoda; Arachnida; Ixodida; Ixodidae
Exons: 5
Source: RefSeq, a predicted model, not a curated record
CAAACAGGUAACAGAAGUAUCUCAAAGCAGCGCGGCCGCUUCGAAAAGAAAGUCGGAUCAACGUAGCUGGUCGUUCCCUAUGGAUGGCAGCUUCCAAAGCAUUGAUACUAUGGGCCCUCGCUGUCACUUCAGUGGCCACUCAUAACCCCUUCGCUCCUGUCAAGCUGGAUCUUUCUAAAUAUCAAAAUCCUUGGCCGGUUAUAAAUAGUACAAACGAUGUUUUACUGGCACGGGUAUCCGGCCCAGGUACAACAUAUCCAUGUGUACGAUCUCGGUAUUGGGGAUAUGAAACCAUGAAUAACACAGUUGAGCGUUCCGUUCGAUAUAUUAUACACCAACCAGAGGUCCACCAAUAUUUCUUUAAGAGUCAGAUAUGAAAAUCAUACAGAAAGAAAUCUUACCAUACUUGAAGUUUCAUUCAAUGAAGCCAUCUUAGUCGAAAGGGAAUUUGGUGGGCCCUACUGCCUCGAUAGAUUUACUUUCCAUGUGCUUUACGCCGAGGCUCAAUGUCUACUCCUGGGCAAUAAAGCAAGCGGUAGAGGGUUCACCAAUUGCUCGUUGUGGUUUCCGGAAAAACAACGUGGUUAUCAGAGACCACCACCAUGCUGCGAGUUCCUAUUUUUUGUUUUAUGUGGGCAAGGCAGUAAGGUUAACUCGACAAAGUGCAACGAUUAAUCAUUCUUGAAAUCUAGUAGAUGAUCUAUUGACGUUUUACAGCACAAGCAACAAAAUUUUAGUUGCAAUAACAUUGCCCGUCACUGAUGAGUUACUGACCAGUAUUCAAAGUGUCA